Long non-coding RNA from Rana temporaria (common frog), 375 nucleotides. RefSeq lists it as uncharacterized. NCBI's taxonomy places the organism in Eukaryota, Metazoa, Chordata, Amphibia, Anura, Ranidae. The record is from RefSeq and is a predicted model, not a curated record. The transcript has 4 exons.
UGGGAAUUGUAGGCAUCUCAGCGACCAUGUGACCUCUGAGAUCCAAUCGCGAUGCACCCGCCUCCCCAACAGGCUAUAUAUAGCAUGAUAUGAUCAUUAUCUGUCUGCUACCAACAGGGUACUGACAGAUGUCUUUAUUCCUCUUAAAGAUAGAUGAAUUGAGGCUCUUCAGUGCCCAUGUUAUUGUCUUACUUAAUUCCCCUGUAUUCACCUUGAUUUUAUUACGCUUCAAGUCCUGUCAGUUGAACUUGGAUUUCAAUAUCCACCCUGAGGGGGUUUUUCCUUGACUGGCUGUGCAUGAAGCUAGGAGUAAUCUAGAGAGACGAUCUUGUCCUAAUUCCCCUGAAGAAGCCAAGUUGGCGAAACUAGUAGGGU